RNAcentral lists this ribosomal RNA (1557 nucleotides) under human gut metagenome. RNAcentral describes it as "bacterial LSU rRNA". It matches the Rfam family "Bacterial large subunit ribosomal RNA", at positions 818 to 2382 of the family's 2925-position model. The record is from RNAcentral.
GGGGUGAAAGGCUAAUCAAACUUGGAGAUAGCUCGUACUCCCCGAAAUGCAUUUAGGUGCAGCCUUGCGGGUUACUGAUGUGAGGUAGAGCGACUGAUAAGAUGCGAGGGCUUCACCGCCUAUCAAGUCUUGACAAACUCCGAAUGCGCAUCAGUUCUACCGCAGGAGUGAGGGCAUGGGUGCUAAGGUCCGUGCCCGAGAGGAGAAGAAUCCGGACCACCUGCUAAGGUCCCGAAAUGACAGCUAAGUUAAACUAACGAAGUCUGACUGCUAAGACAGCUAGGAUGUUGGCUUGGAAGCAGCCAUUCAUUUAAAGAGUGCGUAACAGCUCACUAGUCGAGGAGUCGGGCGUGGAUAAUAAUCGGGUAUCAAGUUGUCUACCGAAGCAGUGGGAUCAUUAAUAUGAUCGGUAGGGGAGCAUUCCAGUCAGCGUCGAAGGCGUACCGUGAGGUAUUCUGGAGCGUCUGGAAAAGCAAAUGUAGGUAUAAGUAACGAUAAAGGGGGCGGGAAACCCCCUCGCCGAAAGACUAAGGUUUCCUGAUCAACGCUAAUCGGAUCAGGGUCAGUCGGGUCCUAAGGCUCAGCCGAACGGCGAUGCCGAUGGCAGAAACGGUUAAUAUUCCGUUACUACCUUCAGGAGUGACGUGGAGACGCAGUAGUGACAGUGCCGCCAUCUGACGGAAUAGAUGGUUGAAGGGUGUAGGAGUCGAUCAUGGCAGGCAAAUCCACCAUGAGAUCCGAACCUGACAGUAUGCCGCGUCCUUCGGGACAAGGCAAUAGUGCGCGUAAGCAUGCUGCCGAGAAAAUCCGCUAAACUUAAUCCUGCAGGUACCCGUACCGCAAACGGACACACGUAGUCGGGAUGAAUAUUCUAAGGCGCUUGAGUGAUUCACGGUUAAGGAACUAGGCAAACUGACCCUGUAACUUCGGGAUAAAGGGUCCCUACCCUUUUAUGGGAGGGCGCAGAGAAUCGGUCCAGGCAACUGUUUAACAAAAACACAGGGCUGUGCCAAAUCGAAAGAUCCAGUAUACAGCCUGACACCUGCCCGGUGCUGGAAGGUUAAGAGGAGAUGUCAUCGAUAAGAGAAGCGUUGAAUUGAAGCCCCAGUAAACGGCGGCCGUAACUAUAACGGUCCUAAGGUAGCGAAAUUCCUUGUCGGGUAAGUUCCGACCUGCACGAAUGGUGUAAUGAUCUGGACGCUGUCUCAACCGUGAGCUCAGUGAAAUUGUAGUAUCGGUGAAGAUGCCGAUUACCCGCGAUGGGACGAAAAGACCCCGUGAACCUUUACUAUAGCUUAUCAUUGAAUCUGGGCACGUGAUGUGUAGGAUAGGUCGGAGGCUUUGAAGCAGGUACGCCAGUAUUUGUGGAGCCGCUGUUGAAAUACGACCCUUUAUUUGUUUGGAUUCUAACCCGUGGAUACGGGGACAUUGAUUGGUGGGUAGUUUGACUGGGGUGGUCGCCUCCAAAAGCGUAACGGAGGCUUCUAAAGGUGCCCUCCGGCCGAUUGGUAACCGGCCUUAGAGUGUAAUGGCAUAAGGGCGCUUGACUGGGAGACU